Molecule: transfer RNA, 77 nt
Filed under: Candidatus Saccharimonadota bacterium
Lineage: Bacteria; Candidatus Saccharimonadota
Also listed under: 2 other names
Description: tRNA-Lys
Rfam family: tRNA
About the family: Transfer RNA (tRNA) molecules are approximately 80 nucleotides in length.
Source: RNAcentral
GGGCCCAUAGCUCAGUUGGUUAGAGCAGUGGCCUUUUAAGCCACGUGUCCUGGGUUCGAAUCCCAGUGGGCCCUCCA